AGCGGCAGACGGGUGAGUAACGCGUGGGAAUCUACCUUAAGCUACGGGAUAACAGAGAGAAAUUUCUGCUAAUACCGUAUGUGGCCUAUGGGCGAAAGAUUUACCGGCUUAAGAUGAGCCCGCGUUGGAUUAGCUAGUUGGUGGGGUAAAGGCCUACCAAGGCGACGAUCCAUAGCUGGUCUGAGAGGAUGAUCAGCCACACUGGGACUGAGACACGGCCCAGACUCCUACGGGAGGCAGCAGUGGGGAAUAUUGGACAAUGGGCGGAAGCCUGAUCCAGCCAUGCCGCGUGAGUGAAGAAGGCCUUAGGGUUGUAAAGCUCUUUCACCGGUGAAGAUAAUGACGGUAACCGGAGAAGAAGCCCCGGCUAACUUCGUGCCAGCAGCCGCGGUAAUACGAAGGGGGCUAGCGUUGUUCGGAUUUACUGGGCGUAAAGCGCGCGUAGGCGGAUAGAUAAGUCAGAGGUGAAAUCCCGGGGCUCAACCCCGGAAUUGCCUUUGAUACUGUUUAUCUUGAGUGCAGAAGAGGUAAGUGGAAUUCCGAGUGUAGAGGUGAAAUUCGUAGAUAUUCGGAGGAACACCAGUGGCGAANGCGGCUUACUGGUCUGCAACUGACGCUGAGGCGCGAAAGCGUGGGGAGCAAACAGGAUUA
RNAcentral lists this ribosomal RNA (651 nucleotides) under uncultured Hyphomicrobiales bacterium. RNAcentral's name for it is "bacterial SSU rRNA". It matches the Rfam family "Bacterial small subunit ribosomal RNA", at positions 94 to 780 of the family's 1533-position model. The record is from RNAcentral. Lineage: Bacteria; Pseudomonadati; Pseudomonadota; Alphaproteobacteria; Hyphomicrobiales.